GAUAGUCGGUGAAGUAGAGCACUGAUUGGUGGUCCCGGGGAAGAAAUUCCUCAGCUACCUGUCAAACUCCAAACUCACCGUCGUCUGAGAAGAUCGGAGUCCGGACUACUGGGGUAAGCUUGUAGUCCGUAAGGGAGACAACCCAGCCCGUGGUUAAGGUCCCCAAGUGUCGACUAAGUGUUAAUACUAAAGGGUGUCCUAAGCCCUAGACAGCUGGAAGGUUAGCUUAGAAGCAGCUAUCCUUUAAAGAGUGCGUAACAGCCCACCAGUCGAGGUUUGGGGCCCCGAAAAUGGACGGGGCUCAAGUCGACCACCGAUACCACGGAGCACCGUAAGGUGAUCUCGUAGGAAGGCGUUGCGUUCGGGCAGAAGCAGGGCUGUGAAGUCCUGUGGACCGUGCGGAAACGAAAAUCCUGGUAACAGUAACAGCAUAGAUAGGUGAGAAUCCUAUCCGCCGAAGGGGCUAGGUUUCCUCGGCAAUGAUCGUCAGCCGAGGGUUAGUCGGUCCUAAGACGUACCGUAAUUCGAGUACGCCAAAAGGGAAACAGGUUAAUAUUCCUGUACCUCUUGACAUUAAAACCAACGUUUUUGGGCAGGUUGAGCGGCGCCGUCGCGCCGUCUAAGCACCUAAUCCCGUGGAGAGCCGUAAUGGCGAGAAGCGGAGGAAUGUGUUAUGGCGAAAGUCAGCUGCACCCGGGAACCCGUGAAAAGGGAGUCAAGGGUCCGUACCGAGAACUGACACAGGUGCCCCUAGCUGAAAAGGCUAAGGCGUGUCGGAACAAUUUGGCUAAGGGAAUUCGGCAAAUUAGCUCCGUAACUUCGGGAGAAGGAGUGCCUGCUGUGAAGACAGCAGGUCGCAGUGACAAGAGAGCUCUAACUGUCUAAUAUCAACAUAGGAGAUCGCAAACCCGUAAGGGCUAGUACGAUCUCUGAAUCCUGCUCAGUGCAGGUACCUGAAACUCCGGUUCAACGGAUCGAAGGGCCUGUAAACAGCGGGGGUAACUAUGACCCUCUUAAGGUAGCGUAGUACCUUGUCGCUUAAUUGGCGACUUGCAUGAAUGGAUCAAUGAGAGCUCUACUGUCCCUAGCCAGAGUCCGGUGAAGCUUACUUUCUAGUGCACAGUCUAGAGACCUCUAGGGGGAAGUGAAGACCCCGUGGAGCUUUACUGCAGCCUGUCGUUGGGUUGUGAUUUUGGAUGUACAGUGUAGGUAGGAGACAUCGAAGGUGGUGCGCCAGCAUCACUGGAGUCGCCGUUGGGACACUACCCUUCUGAAAUUACGACCCUAACUCCGAGAGGAGGACCCCGAUAGGUGGGCAGUUUGCCUGGGGCGGGACGCCCUUGAAAAGAUAUCAAGGGCGCACAAUGGUUGACUCAAGUGGGUCGGAAACCCACUGAAGAGUGCAAGAGCAUAAGUCAGCCUGACGUUAUUCAGCACAGUAGUGGAUGACGAGACGAAAGUCGGUUCUAGCGAACUUUUGUGCUCGCUUGGUGCGAGCCAAAAAUGACAGAAAAGUUACCCCGGGGAUAAUUGAGUUGUUGCCGGCAAGAGCACAUAUCGACCCGGCAGCUUGCUACUUCGAUGUCGGUUCUUUCCAUCCUGGCCGUGCAGCAGCGGCCAAGGGUGAGGUUGUUCGCCUAUUAAAGGAGAUCGUGAGCUGGGUUUAGACCGUCGUGAGACAGGUCGGUUACUAUCUACUAGAGGUGUUAGUGGUCUGAGGGUAAGCUACUUUUAGUACGAGAGGAACAGAGUAGCGGCGCCACUGGUGUAUCAGUUGUCCGACAGGGCAUUGCUGAGCAGCUACGCGCUAAGGAAUAAGAGCUGAAUGCAUCUAAGCUCGAAAUCUGACUCAAAAAGAGACCACAUUAAGGAUCCCGGUAUAAGACCGGUUUGAUAGGGUCGGGAUGUACGCACCAAGGCAACGAGGUGUUCAGUCCGCGGCUACUAAUAAUCCGUGCCUGUCUG
Molecule: ribosomal RNA, 1965 nt
Filed under: Methanolobus psychrotolerans
Lineage: Archaea; Methanobacteriati; Methanobacteriota; Methanomicrobia; Methanosarcinales; Methanosarcinaceae
Description: bacterial LSU rRNA
Rfam family: Archaeal large subunit ribosomal RNA
Source: RNAcentral